This 463-nucleotide ribosomal RNA is filed under the name uncultured bacterium. RNAcentral's name for it is "partial 16S ribosomal RNA". It matches the Rfam family "Bacterial small subunit ribosomal RNA", at positions 28 to 507 of the family's 1533-position model. The record is from RNAcentral.
GACGAACGCUGGCGGCGUGCUUAACACAUGCAAGUCGAGCGGUAAGGCCCUUCGGGGUACCCGAGCGGCGAACGGGUGAGUAACACGUGAGUAAUCUGCCCAUCACUUCGGGAUAACUCCGGGAAACCGGUGCUAAUACCGAAUAUGACCACUUCAGGCAUCUGAUGGUGGUGGAAAGUUCCGGCGGUGAUGGAUGAGCUCGCGGCCUAUCAGCUUGUUGGUGGGGUAGUGGCCUACCAAGGCUUCGACGGGUAGCCGGCCUGAGAGGGUGACCGGCCACACUGGGACUGAGACACGGCCCAGACUCCUACGGGAGGCAGCAGUGGGGAAUAUUGGACAAUGGGCGAAAGCCUGAUCCAGCAACGACGCGUGAGGGAUGACGGCCUUCGGGUUGUAAACCUCUUUCAGCAGGGACGAAGCGCAAGUGACGGUACCUGCAGAAGAAGCACCGGCAAACUACGUG